RNAcentral lists this long non-coding RNA (239 nucleotides) under Mytilus galloprovincialis (Mediterranean mussel). Lineage: Eukaryota; Metazoa; Mollusca; Bivalvia; Mytilida; Mytilidae. The record is from RNAcentral.
GGUGGGUUCAGACAAUCUACUCUGAUAUUAAAGGCUGCAUUAUUAAUAAUGGAUGGGUUUCCUCCCGUUUUAGGGCAUCUCGCGGGAUCCGACAAGGAUGUCCGUUAUCAUCGUUACUAUUUGUUCUAGCUGUAGAAGUUAUGGCAAUAAAGAUAAGGGAAAAUAAAAACUUAAAAGGACUAGAAAUAAAAUUAGACGGUAAGAGUAAUACCCUGAAAAUCUGCCAAUUAGCUGACGAC